This 194-nucleotide unclassified non-coding RNA is filed under the name rhizosphere metagenome. RNAcentral's name for it is "partial ribosomal RNA internal transcribed spacer region". The record is from RNAcentral.
GAGUUCAUGCCCUCACGGGUAGAUCUCCCACCCUUGAAUAUUAUACCUUCGUUGCUUUGGCAGGCCGUGGAAACACCAUGGGCUCCGGCUGAUGCGUGCCUGCCAGAGGACCCAAACUCUAAUGUUUCUUAUUGUAACUUCUGAGUAAAACAAACAAAUAAAUCAAAACUUUCAACAACGGAUCUCUUGGUUCU